This 1567-nucleotide ribosomal RNA is filed under the name Lactiplantibacillus plantarum. RNAcentral describes it as "16S ribosomal RNA". It matches the Rfam family "Bacterial small subunit ribosomal RNA". Lineage: Bacteria; Bacillati; Bacillota; Bacilli; Lactobacillales; Lactobacillaceae. The record is from RNAcentral.
UAAUUUGAGAGUUUGAUCCUGGCUCAGGACGAACGCUGGCGGCGUGCCUAAUACAUGCAAGUCGAACGAACUCUGGUAUUGAUUGGUGCUUGCAUCAUGAUUUACAUUUGAGUGAGUGGCGAACUGGUGAGUAACACGUGGGAAACCUGCCCAGAAGCGGGGGAUAACACCUGGAAACAGAUGCUAAUACCGCAUAACAACUUGGACCGCAUGGUCCGAGUUUGAAAGAUGGCUUCGGCUAUCACUUUUGGAUGGUCCCGCGGCGUAUUAGCUAGAUGGUGGGGUAACGGCUCACCAUGGCAAUGAUACGUAGCCGACCUGAGAGGGUAAUCGGCCACAUUGGGACUGAGACACGGCCCAAACUCCUACGGGAGGCAGCAGUAGGGAAUCUUCCACAAUGGACGAAAGUCUGAUGGAGCAACGCCGCGUGAGUGAAGAAGGGUUUCGGCUCGUAAAACUCUGUUGUUGAAGAAGAACAUAUCUGAGAGUAACUGUUCAGGUAUUGACGGUAUUUAACCAGAAAGCCACGGCUAACUACGUGCCAGCAGCCGCGGUAAUACGUAGGUGGCAAGCGUUGUCCGGAUUUAUUGGGCGUAAAGCGAGCGCAGGCGGUUUUUUAAGUCUGAUGUGAAAGCCUUCGGCUCAACCGAAGAAGUGCAUCGGAAACUGGGAAACUUGAGUGCAGAAGAGGACAGUGGAACUCCAUGUGUAGCGGUGAAAUGCGUAGAUAUAUGGAAGAACACCAGUGGCGAAGGCGGCUGUCUGGUCUGUAACUGACGCUGAGGCUCGAAAGUAUGGGUAGCAAACAGGAUUAGAUACCCUGGUAGUCCAUACCGUAAACGAUGAAUGCUAAGUGUUGGAGGGUUUCCGCUCUUCAGUGCUGCAGCUAACGCAUUAAGCAUUCCGCCUGGGGAGUACGGCCGCAAGGCUGAAACUCAAAGGAAUUGACGGGGGCCCGCACAAGCGGUGGAGCAUGUGGUUUAAUUCGAAGCUACGCGAAGAACCUUACCAGGUCUUGACAUACUAUGCAAAUCUAAGAGAUUAGACGUUCCCUUCGGGGACAUGGAUACAGGUGGUGCAUGGUUGUCGUCAGCUCGUGUCGUGAGAUGUUGGGUUAAGUCCCGCAACGAGCGCAACCCUUAUUAUCAGUUGCCAGCAUUAAGUUGGGCACUCUGGUGAGACUGCCGGUGACAAACCGGAGGAAGGUGGGGAUGACGUCAAAUCAUCAUGCCCCUUAUGACCUGGGCUACACACGUGCUACAAUGGAUGGUACAACGAGUUGCGAACUCGCGAGAGUAAGCUAAUCUCUUAAAGCCAUUCUCAGUUCGGAUUGUAGGCUGCAACUCGCCUACAUGAAGUCGGAAUCGCUAGUAAUCGCGGAUCAGCAUGCCGCGGUGAAUACGUUCCCGGGCCUUGUACACACCGCCCGUCACACCAUGAGAGUUUGUAACACCCAAAGUCGGUGGGGUAACCUUUUAGGAACCAGCCGCCUAAGGUGGGACAGAUGAUUAGGGUGAAGUCGUAACAAGGUAGCCGUAGGAGAACCUGCGGCUGGAUCACCUCCUUU